This 27-nucleotide non-coding RNA is filed under the name Rattus norvegicus (Norway rat). Lineage: Eukaryota; Metazoa; Chordata; Mammalia; Rodentia; Muridae. The record is from RNAcentral.
UUCAAACCUUCUAUCUUGCUGCUACUG